CUGGGCUUGACAUGUAUGGAACCUGCCAAGAUACGUCAACUCUUUCGACAAUCGUAUACAGGUGUGCUGUGUGGCUGUCGUCCUCUCGUGUCGGAGAUGUUGGGUUAAGUCCCGCCGAAGCGCCUCUCUGCCUAUUGUUGCCCACGUUAUGGUGGGAAACUCGGGAAGACGGCCGGUGAUAAACCGAAGAAAGGGGGGAAUGACGUCAAUCAUCAUGGGCCCUAUGUCUUGGGGUUACACCCUGGCUACAUGGGCGAGAACAGAGGCUGGCAUACUACCAGGAGUGACCGAAUCCCAAAAAUCGGGCCCAAUUCCGAAUGGGAUCCGGCACUUCAACUCCUGGAAUCCGAAAUCCUUAGUAUUCCCAAUUCACAAUGUUGCGGUGAAUACGUUCCC
Molecule: ribosomal RNA, 396 nt
Filed under: uncultured Actinomycetales bacterium
Lineage: Bacteria; Bacillati; Actinomycetota; Actinomycetes; Actinomycetales
Description: bacterial SSU rRNA
Rfam family: Bacterial small subunit ribosomal RNA
Source: RNAcentral